UCCAAGUUGUAUCUAGAAGAAAGGUCAUGUG
This 31-nucleotide non-coding RNA is filed under the name Rattus norvegicus (Norway rat). Lineage: Eukaryota; Metazoa; Chordata; Mammalia; Rodentia; Muridae. The record is from RNAcentral.